This is a long non-coding RNA of Homo sapiens (human), 2257 nucleotides long. RefSeq lists it as uncharacterized. Lineage: Eukaryota; Metazoa; Chordata; Mammalia; Primates; Hominidae. The transcript is spliced from 2 exons. The record is from RefSeq and is a predicted model, not a curated record.
CCUCGACCUCCCAAAGUGCUGGGAUUACAGGCGUGAGCCACUGCGCCCGGCCGACCAAAACAUUUUUUUUUGCUUGUCUGUAUAUAUCAGGUUUUGUAAAUAAUGAGUAUUCCAUUAUUUUCUAACUGGAAAAAAAAUUUAAGGGAAAAAAAUCACCCGUAAGUUUUAUUUCUUAACUGAGGUCAAAGGAUACCUUAUCGUUUUACUAGAAUUGAUUGGAUGUUUCCUGUAAGUCCCAGAUGAGUUGCCUGGAGAGAGGAAUGACCUCUGAGGGCAUGACAUUGAACCCAGGAAUAGGAAGCGGACCGCCAAGAAGGAUAGAGGGAAACUACUCACAUCUGCAAAGUAUUUUCGUUUUGCUUUUCUGAGACGAAACUGGUUUGCAUCCAGAGCCUUAAGAAAGAACACUAAUAGUUCUGUGAGCUUUGAUAUGCUGUCUGUAGCUGUGAUGUCCAAUCUGGGUGUGCCGACUCUCCUGCCUUCUACCGUAACAGCUGUCACCACCACCACAUAGCCUUUCAAAUGAUGGCACUCUCUUUUGGUGGUACCCUUGCUCUCUUUUUAUACUUAGAAGCAGCAGAAUGAUCUGAGUGUUGUGUUUAACUGGUACACAUUAGUCCCAUGAUAGGUGUUAUUUUUAUUAAAAAACGUUCAUGUGUGAUUUUUAACUAAACUUUAAAAUUUGGAACAAUUAAUGACUUCAAAUCCAUAGGAAGCUGUAAAUACAGUACAGACAGGUCCUGUGUACUCUUCUAGUUUGCCUAAUGGUUACAUGUUACAUAACUAUAAUGUAAUGUCAAAACCAGGAAAUUGAUAUUUGUGCAAUGUAUGUGUAUAGUGUCAUGCACAUUUCAUCUCAUACGUAGAUUCCUGUAGCCACCACCAUAGUCAAGAUACAGAACUAUUCCAUUACCCCAAAGACUUCCCUUAUGACUCUGUAGUCACAUCCUGUGUCAGCAGUCCCCAGGGCUGCCCCCAGGUUUCGUAAUUCGUUCGAGGCUCUCACAGGACAUAUUUAUUCCUUGCUAUGGUUUGUUACAGUGAGGGGAUACAAAGUAGGAUUAAUAAAGGUUAGUUGUGCAUUGAGCAGAUUCUACAGGACACCAGCAUUGUUAAGAUUCGAAGCGUCUUCUCCCAGCAGAGUUGCCCAGGAUGUGCUUACUUCCCCAGCCGUAAACUCUAGCAACAUGUGUGAAGUGUUUUUUAUUGUGAAAGCUCAUGUACACCUCAGAAUCCAGGGCUUUUACUGGAGGUUGGUCACAUAGUAUAUUAGUUCGUUCAUUCUCACGUAGUUAUAAAGAAAUACCUGAGAUUGAGUAAUUUAUAAAGAAAGGAGGUUUAAUUGGCUCACAGUUCUACAGGCUGUACAGGAAACAUUGCAGCUUCUGCUUCUAGGGUGGCCUCAGGAAGCUUCCAGUAAUAGUGGAGAGCAAAGGGGGAGCAAAGUGUCUCCCCUAGUGGGAGCAGGAGCAAGAGAGAAGGUGCUAUACACGUUUAAACAACCAGAUCUCACAAGCACAGAACCACAGGGGAUGGUGCGAAACCAUUCAUGAUUAACUGCCCCAUGAUCAGAUCACCUUUCACAGGCCCCACUUCCAACAUUGGGGAUUACAAUUCAGCAUGACAUUUGGGUGGGGACACAGUUCCAAACCAUAUCACAUAGGCAUAUAGUCCCUUUAAAACUGAUCACCGUUACAGCAACUCCAGAAGGAAAUCAGGUGUUUACCAUAAAUCAUACAGUUUGCACAAAAUAUCUAGACAAGCUGGACAGUGUGGUUCAGUACCGUAACCAUACAAAACACCCUUAUCAUAUAGAGCAUAGGGCUAGUACAAGACCUCAGUUUCUAGGAGCUGACCAAGGGCCAGUCUAACCCAGCUGACCAAGCAGGCCCGUCUGAGAAUGUGCAUCAUUUGAGCAACUCAGGCCUGCUGGGUUAACUGCUUACACCAUUUUCCUUCCCCUCCUCUUCCUUGCCUUCGACACUCUUAACCUGGAAAAAGCACUAAUUUGUCCUCCAUAUCUGUGGUUUUGUCAUUUGGAAAGGUUGUAGAAAUCCUAGAGUAUGUGACCUUUUAAGAUGCACUUUUUAGAAAACUCAACAUGUUGCUCUUGUGUUAAUAGUUUGUUCUUUUUAGUGUUCGGUAUUCUCUUGUGUGGUCAUGCCCCAGUUUAUUUAACCAUCCCAUAGAUGUUUAUUUUCCCUUGUAAAGUUGGUUAGCAUGUAUUUUUUUUUUUUUUUUUUGGAGACAGAGUCUC